AGACUUAGGUUAACCAUUUACCAAGGACCUUCAAAGUCCUAAACAGGGGGUACCACCCCUAGCCUCUG
This 68-nucleotide transfer RNA is filed under the name Pachydactylus bicolor. Its description in RNAcentral is "tRNA-Trp". Lineage: Eukaryota; Metazoa; Chordata; Lepidosauria; Squamata; Gekkonidae. The record is from RNAcentral.